This 564-nucleotide ribosomal RNA is filed under the name uncultured Glomeromycotina. Its description in RNAcentral is "SSU rRNA". It matches the Rfam family "Eukaryotic small subunit ribosomal RNA", at positions 548 to 1114 of the family's 1831-position model. The record is from RNAcentral. Lineage: Eukaryota; Fungi; Glomeromycota.
UUGGAGGGCAAGUCUGGUGCCAGCAGCCGCGGUAAUUCCAGCUCCAAUAGCGUAUAUUAAAGUUGCUGCAGUUAAAAAGCUCGUAGUUGAAUUUCGGGACCAAUAUGUCGGUCGUGCCUCGGUACGUACUGGCAUCGUUGGUUUCUCCCUUCUGACGAACCAUGAUGUCAUUUAUUUGGUGUCGUGGGGAAUCAGGACUGUUACUUUGAAAAAAUUAGAGUGUUUAAAGCAGGCUCACGCUUGAAUACAUUAGCAUGGAAUAAUGAAAUAGGACGUUUGAUUCUAUUUUGUUGGUUUCUGGGAUUGACGUAAUGAUUAAUAGGGAUAGUUGGGGGCAUUAGUAUUCAAUUGUCAGAGGUGAAAUUCUUGGAUUUAUUGAAGACUAACUACUGCGAAAGCAUUUGCCAAGGAUGUUUUCAUUAAUCAAGAACGAAAGUUAGGGGAUCGAAGACGAUCAGAUACCGUCGUAGUCUUAACCAUAAACUAUGCCGACUAGGGAUCGGAUGAUGUUAAUUUUUUAAUGAUUCAUUCGGCGCCUCACGGGAAACCAAAGUGUUUGGGUUC